This 466-nucleotide ribosomal RNA is filed under the name uncultured bacterium. Its description in RNAcentral is "bacterial SSU rRNA". It matches the Rfam family "Bacterial small subunit ribosomal RNA", at positions 8 to 467 of the family's 1533-position model. The record is from RNAcentral.
AGAGUUUGAUCAUGGCUCAGAUUGAACGCUGGCGGCAUGCUUAAUACAUGCAAGUCGAACGGUAACAGAUUCUUCGGAAUGCUGACGAGUGGCGGACGGGUGAGUAAUACAUAGGAAUCUGCCCAUGUAGUGGGGGACAACUUGGGGAAACUCAAGCUAAUACCGCAUAAUUCCUACGGGAUAAAGAGGGCCACUGCUUGCAAGCUCUUGCUACUGGAUGAGCCUAUGUCGGAUUAGUUAGUUGGUAAGGUAAUGGCUUACCAAGACAGCGAUCCGUAGCUGGUUUGAGAGGAUGAUCAGCCACACUGGGACUGAGACACGGCCCAGACUCCUACGGGAGGCAGCAGUAGGGAGUAUUGGACAGUGGGCGCAAGCCUGAUCCAGCAAUGCCGCGUGUGUGAAGAAGGCCUGCGGGUUGUAAAGCACUUUCAAUUGGGAAGAAAGAUUAUGAGUUAAUACCUUAUAA